RNAcentral lists this long non-coding RNA (569 nucleotides) under Cricetulus griseus (Chinese hamster). RNAcentral describes it as "lncRNA (ENSCGRG00015031375.1)". The record is from RNAcentral. Lineage: Eukaryota; Metazoa; Chordata; Mammalia; Rodentia; Cricetidae.
CAGUACCCAAGAGGAGCCUCUAGUCCAGUUCUCAGAGUUGGGGUCAGUUGCUUUUCUGCUGUGGGUACUGCUGCCAUGGGAUCCAGGGACCCACUGGAGACAUUGUUUUGACUCAGCCUCCAGAUUGAAUGCCUCUGUUUCUCAGGCAGAGGGCCACUAUCUCCUGGAGGGCCAGCAGGAGUGUCAUUACAUUUGGCAUUAAUGAUAUGCACUGAUGGAUAAACUAUAGAGGCCAAAGAGUACAAGGCAUGGUCAUAGGAACUCAACUUCAUGGAAACCCUCCACUGCUUCAUGAACAGUGAACUUCUUUUGGCUUUUGUAUCAUUACCAUGUGGAGUGAAAAAGUUAAAUAAAAAUAAUUUUAGCAACACUUUCAUAUGUGCCUGUGCAGAUACUGUGAUCACUCCUUCCUCCCCAGCUGUGUCAGUAGUAGAAGUUCACCUUUAUCUGCAAGUCCAGUCAGAAUCUUUUAUACAGUGAAAAUCAGAAUACUUGGCCUAGCACCAGAAGAAACCAAGCCAAGCUCCUAAACUCCUUAUUACCUGGGCAUCUAAUUGGCACAAUGGGGU